Molecule: ribosomal RNA, 301 nt
Filed under: uncultured bacterium
Lineage: Bacteria
Description: partial 16S ribosomal RNA
Rfam family: Bacterial small subunit ribosomal RNA
Source: RNAcentral
CAGCAGCCGCGGGAAUACGAAGGGGGCUAGCGUUGUUCGGAAUUACUGGGCGUAAAGCGCACGUAGGCGGAUAUUUGAGUCAGGGGUGAAAUCCCAGAGCUCAACUCUGGAACUGCCUUUGAUACUGGGUAUCUUGAGUAUGGAAGAGGUUAGUGGAAUUGCGGGUGUAGAGGUGAAAUUCGUAGAUAUUCGCAGGAACACCAGUGGCGAAGGCGGCUAACUGGUCCAUAACUGACGCUGAGGUGCGAAAGCGUGGGGAGCAAACAGGAUUAGAUACCCGCGUAGUCCCUGUCUCUUAUAC